GAUGAACGCUGGCGGCGUGCCUAAUACAUGCAAGUCGAGCGAACAGACGAGGAGCUUGCUCCUCUGACGUUAGCGGCGGACGGGUGAGUAACACGUGGAUAACCUACCUAUAAGACUGGGAUAACUUCGGGAAACCGGAGCUAAUACCGGAUAAUAUAUUGAACCGCAUGGUUCAAUAGUGAAAGACGGUUUUGCUGUCACUUAUAGAUGGAUCCGCGCCGCAUUAGCUAGUUGGUAAGGUAACGGCUUACCAAGGCAACGAUGCGUAGCCGACCUGAGAGGGGGAACGGCCCAACUGGAACCGGGAAACGGGCCCAAAUCCUAAGGGAGGCAGCAGGAGGGAAACCUUCGCAAUGGGCGAAAGCCUGACGGAGCAACGCCGCGUGAGUGAUGAAGGUCUUCGGAUCGUAAAACUCUGUUAUUAGGGAAGAACAAAUGUGUAAGUAACUAUGCACGUCUUGACGGUACCUAAUCAGAAAGCCACGGCUAACUACGUG
RNAcentral lists this ribosomal RNA (497 nucleotides) under uncultured bacterium. RNAcentral describes it as "partial 16S ribosomal RNA". It matches the Rfam family "Bacterial small subunit ribosomal RNA", at positions 28 to 507 of the family's 1533-position model. The record is from RNAcentral.